Molecule: non-coding RNA, 790 nt
Filed under: Onitis alexis
Lineage: Eukaryota; Metazoa; Arthropoda; Insecta; Coleoptera; Scarabaeidae
Source: RNAcentral
GUUAAAUUUGAUUUUAGUUUAAAAAUUUAAUUUAUAUUUUAUUUAUAUGCAUUUAUUUAAAAGAAAAGAAUUUAAAUAAUUUUUUUAUUUUUUUGCAAUGAUUAGGAUUAUACAAUAAUAGAAAUAUUGAUAAAGAAAUAUAUAAUGGUACUGGUAAAAUUUGUGCCAGCAAUCGCGGUUAUACAAAUAGUACAAUUAAAUUUUUUUUAAUAAUAAUUAAUAGGAUAAAAAUUCAAUUUUAAAUUAAAUUUAUUAAGUGAAAUUAGAAAUUUAAAUAGGGUUAGUUUAUUAUGAUUAUGAAUGUUAUGAAAUUCUUUUAUUAAACUAGGAUUAGAUACCCUACUAUAAGGAUCGUAAAAUAUGAAUAUAUUAAGGUAGUAUUAGCUAUGGUCUUGAAAUUUAAAAAAUUUGGCGGUAUUUUAGUCUUUUCAGAGGAACCUGUUCUAUAAUCGAUGAUCCACGAUUAAUUGUACUUGAUUUACAAGCUUAUAUAUCGUCGUAGUUUGAAUUUUUCAGCAGAAUAAGAAUUUUCAUAAUUUAUAAUUUUAUAAAAGAAAUCAGAUCAAGGUGUAGUUUAUAAUUAAGAAGAAAUGGGUUACAAUAAAAAUAUUUAUUAUGGUUAUAAUAAUUAAAAUUAUUAUUUAAAGCGGAUUUGAAAGUAAUAUAUUUAAUUUAAAAUAUAUGAUUUAAGCUCUAAAAUGUGCACAUAUCGCCCGUCGCUUUCAUUUAAUUAUUAAGAUGAAAUAAGUCGUAACAUAGUAGGUGUACCGGAAGGUGUACCUAGAAAGAU